Molecule: non-coding RNA, 30 nt
Filed under: Homo sapiens (human)
Lineage: Eukaryota; Metazoa; Chordata; Mammalia; Primates; Hominidae
Source: RNAcentral
UGGCUGACAUGGUCCAGAAGAUUCUCCCCU